AGAAAUAAAAAUUGGCCAGGACUGGGGACAAACUGUGCUAGAGAAAAAUUGUCUAUGUUGUCACUACAGGUCAACACUGACUUGAUUGCAGAGUCCGUUUCCUCAGCAUCAGUGCUAAUGGCUAGCGGAGGAAGGGGAGGUCUUUGGAGGAGAGCUAGAGAAAAAGGAUAGGCGGCAGAAUUGUGAAUUCACCAGAAAACAUCAUUAGACUGUUAGAUUAUCUUCUCUUCACCAUUUUACUUUGGAGAACAUGGCAGUAGCAGAUAGAAACAACCUUUUGCAAGAAAGCCAUCUUGUUGACUAUUAUGUGCAAAAAGCAAAGGACAAGGAGCAGCCAGACAAAAAUAGGUUGAGCAGCCAUAAACCAAAGUAGCUUUUAAAGUGAAUCUUGACAUUUCUGUAUAAAUAUUCUGUGUUGUUUUAUAAGCAUCAAA
This is a long non-coding RNA of Pantherophis guttatus, 434 nucleotides long. RefSeq lists it as uncharacterized. NCBI's taxonomy places the organism in Eukaryota, Metazoa, Chordata, Lepidosauria, Squamata, Colubridae. The record is from RefSeq and is a predicted model, not a curated record.